UACGUAGGGGGCGAGCGUUGUCCGGAUUUAUUGGGCGUAAAGAGCGUGUAGGCGGCCAGGUAGGUCCGUUGUGAAAACUCGAGGCUCAACCUCGAGACGUCGAUGGAAACCAUCUGGCUAGAGUCCGGAAGAGGAGAGUGGAAUUCCUGGUGUAGCGGUGAAAUGCGCAGAUAUCAGGAAGAACACCCGUGGCGAAGGCGGCUCUCUGGUACGUGACUGACGCUGAGACGCGAAAGCGUGGGGAGCGAACAGG
RNAcentral lists this ribosomal RNA (253 nucleotides) under uncultured bacterium. RNAcentral's name for it is "partial 16S ribosomal RNA". It matches the Rfam family "Bacterial small subunit ribosomal RNA", at positions 524 to 776 of the family's 1533-position model. The record is from RNAcentral.